GGCGUCCAGUGUCUCCUCUCAGUCUUCCUGCAGUUCUCUCUGCUCCUAUGCGCACUCCCUAUGCGCACUCUCUGUAGUGAUGCCGAGGGCAGAGUGAUGUCAUGUCACUAAACAGCACGCAAGGGAGCAGAGAGGAACUGCAGGAAGGUUACUGCUCCCUCACGCGUCAUCUCCAUGCUCCCCGUGUGGCCUGCUCUAAUGUUUCCUGCGCGGCUUAGCAAAGGGCUAAAAAAUGGCAGGCGCCAGGGCGAAAUGUCUAGUACCCAUGGCGACCUAGCGCCUGGACUUUGUCAAGCCCUGUGUAUGUAUGUAUGUAUACAUAUAUACACACACUUUUUAUAACUGCCCCCCUUCUUUUGUCCCUGGCCUCUUAUGUGGCCCCCCAUAAGUAUGGAUCCUGGAGACGCCGCUGGAGGUGCUUCUGCGACCCUGGAUGCGAAAAUCGCAUUCAGGAUGCAGAACGUCCAUAGGAAAGCAUUGAGAAAUGCUUUCCUAUGGACUGUUUGAAUGCACGCGCAGCUCUUGCCACGCAUGUGCAUU
Non-coding RNA from Pelobates cultripes (western spadefoot toad), 540 nucleotides. NCBI's taxonomy places the organism in Eukaryota, Metazoa, Chordata, Amphibia, Anura, Pelobatidae. The record is from the annotation of a GenBank genome assembly.